Molecule: long non-coding RNA, 2831 nt
Organism: Varanus komodoensis (Komodo dragon)
Lineage: Eukaryota; Metazoa; Chordata; Lepidosauria; Squamata; Varanidae
Exons: 2
Source: RefSeq, a predicted model, not a curated record
AAUAAACCGCAGGUUCAAAAAGGCUGGUAAAGGGAAUGCUUUAUGUGAAACACACUGCAAUCCUGCGCUACUUUAGCUGGAAGUAAGCCCCAUCAAACUCUGUGGGCAUUGCCUUUUGAACAGGCAUGUAUGGGGUUGCUGCUUCCUAAAAGUGCCUUAUGAAUGCUGCUGCCAUUAUUAUUGCCCAAGAGGAUACUAGAUAAGCAGUAAUAGCUAUGCUUAUGGUCCCUAAAACAUGUUAAAUCUCUCCUAACAUUAGCGAUUUAAUAGACAAAGCAUGUUGCCCUUCAGAGACCUCUACAAUGCUUUGACCAAUAUGGGGUCGCCUUUUCUGUUUUUACGAAGAACAUGAUUUUAACUCCUGGGAAUUCUUAGAAAACCUAUUUGUCGCGGAGCUAGUUUUCCUUCAGAGACCUCACCUUUAACCAGGAAACGCAACUCCCCCUUCUGGCUUAAUGUCUUACGGAAAAUACUCAACGAGGUGGGGAAACUACAUGUCCCAGUAUGCAUUGCUUCACCGUGCCCAAAUUGAGAGUUGCAUUUUGGGAACGGAGUUAGGGGAGAAGAAGAGAGAAAUGGAAAAAUGUCUGCCAUGUCUUGGCUUGUGGAGGGGUUGGGCUUGCGUCGCGUCUGCGGACUGUAGUCAUUUUGCUUUUGCAAAUUAAUCGUACAUGUUAGCUUGGUGAAAUACCUACGUUCUCCUCCAACACACAUCUUAAUAGAUUCCCGACAGAGCAGAGUUCCUGCCGCUUUAGUAACUAUUACGACAGGCAGACCUUUAUCAAUGGAAGCUUUUACCCACUGCUCCAUCUCCAUACUGGGAAGGGGAGAACUAUACCUGAUGGAUUUCUGCCUUUGGCUCAGCGGUGUAAAAGGGCACAAGCAGACAUGUGGAAGAGGGCAUACUUUUUCAGGGCCUCGGCCCAAGCUGCAACCACAUUGCCAGAAGGAAACAAAUUGAGAAUAAAUUGUAGCUCAUAGAUUGGAGUAUUUAUAGAAGGUUGUUUCCAUAUCUAUGCACUGCUUGUCUAGAGCUUGUGAAGUUUUCUAGAGUCAGUUGGAAGUAGCAUUUGAACAGAACACUCCAAAGAGUAUGUUGCUGGCUCAGGCCUUUCUGUAGAAGCAGCAUGUCUGCUUGCACUCUUAAAUAAGGACAUGCUGUUUGAGGGAGAUAAAAUAUAUUAAUGCUUCUCUGUAUUCCAUGCUCUCCUAAGAACUACCUGUCCCAGAGUUUUUUAUGCAGCGACUAGAGUGAGGGACAAUGUAGGAGGAGAAAAGCAGCCGAGGAGAAAAAAAGAUUGAUCCCACGGAUGAGAAAUGUAGGAGGAGAAAAGAAGAUUGAUCCCACGGAUGGUGGGAGCCAGUGCUGCUGGCAUUGCCCAAGUUUAGCCUACCGAUCUUUCUGAGGGUCUUCCUUACAAAAUGCUACAUCUGGGGGGAAACCCCCCUAAAUCUUCAAGUCUACUUUUGAAAUAGAGUAUGAUGCACCCCCCUCUGAGUAUCUAAAUGAUACUUUUUAUGAAAAAAUGGGCAAGCGAUUUUCAGUGAAAAAUUCUCAGACAGGGUCAUAAGUAACUGAGCACCAUAGCAGACAGAACUGGUGAGUGAGCCAUAUAGCACAGAGAAUGGUUGGGGUCACACAAUGCAGCAAGCCCUGGGUGGGUUAUAAAGCACCCCCAUCCAACUAUUUCGCCUGGCAUUCCCAGGGUGAGACUAGCAGGCACAGCACAGGGCCUGAGCUACCUCCUUCCCCUCAGUUCUUCCAAAUGUCUCCCACGAGAGCACUGAGUUUUUCUCCCCUCCCCACUGCUGCUUGUUGGCAGAGGCAGAAGGGCAGGGAAGAGGGCUACUGACAACCUUUGCCUUGACUCACAGGCCUGGUCAACCUCAGCAAGGGCUCUUGGACUCUGCCAGUCUGGAGUGGGCCAAGCGGAGCUGCUUCCCUGCCUGGGGCCACCUCAGAGUGCCACCGUACUAGGCAGAAGUGGCAUUGUCUGCUUGGCCUGCUCCUGAUUAGACCGAGCAGUGCAGGGCUUGGCUCUUUCUGUCUGGUGCUGCUCCUGAGAGGCAGCAUCCACGAUAAUUUCAACUGAACCGAUCCGCAGCAUGCACAACAGCCAAGCUGAGCUGAUCAUACCUCCACAACCCUGUGAGUGGCAGUGUGGGCCAAGAGGAAGCUAACAGCCUCCCAUCAAGUGCUUUGGGACCAGCUUGGAGGCAGCAGUCAGUUGCUUGCUAGCAGAAGGGGUUUCUUGCUGCUCUUGCCAAAUGGCUCUGCAGCUGUUUGGGUCACCCCUUGGCUUGUUGGGUCAUCCUGGUUCAAACAGCAUGACAAGCCCAGGGGUGGCCACUAACUCCCCAACUAUCCAUACAUGGCUUAAUGAACCCAGAACCUGAGCUGAUAAAUCUCCCCAAAUAAGUCAUGGUGGGUUCACACAACUCGCCAAGACCCUCUGGCUUUAAGUCCAUGACUAAGAACAUGUUGCAUCCAAUAAUUUUUAGAAAGGGUCUCUUCAUAAUUUGAGUUGAGCAUAUGUGGUUCCCUACUUUCAGUGUUCCUAUUGCUAUCCAUGAUGCAGGGGAGCCCAAGUAGUUCUGGAAAUAUUUUAUGCCUUUACCUCUUUUAGGUUUCCCAGAUUAUAUGCUAAUUUCUCAAAAAGAACCUUUUAUCAGACCUUUUCUAGCCAUUGAUUUUCUGGAACUUUGUCCCCUGUUUUCCAGAGAGACAUGAUCUCAAAAUGUGCAGCAGUGAAAGGAAGCCUUACCAAGUCUUCAUACAACUAUUCAUUUUCUUUUUGAAAUACUGACAAUAAAAUGAACAUUCCACAGUG